This 573-nucleotide long non-coding RNA is filed under the name Amborella trichopoda. Its description in RNAcentral is "long non-coding RNA (ATRI_LNC000787)". Lineage: Eukaryota; Viridiplantae; Streptophyta; Magnoliopsida; Amborellales; Amborellaceae. The record is from RNAcentral.
CGAACGCUGCAUCAACCUGCUUAUUGGUCCGAGUGCCCUUUCAUGUUUUUGCUUAGACAGGAGAAGCGGUGCCAUAGAGACGAUUUUCACCAACCUCCUUUUUAUUUAGGCUCUUUUGCCCAUGACCUGACGGCCAUAUCUGCCUUUCUUUCCAUUCUUACCCACAGUGCCCUUUCGGGUUUUCACUAUGCCCGGUUUUUUAUUUACAUAACUCUCUUACUCAUGGUUUCGUGACCAUGCCCGUCCAUCACUUUUUCUCAUGGCGUAGGUUUACACCAUGCCCGUUUUCUUAUUUUUGUGGGGCAUGUUUGAGGUCAUGCCUCCGAGACUUGAGCAAAACAGUUUAACGUCAUGAGGCCAGAACGUGGACUAUAGUUUAAAGUCAUAAAGCUGGACCGUAAUGGAGAUGGAUGACAGUCUGUGGAGGCCAUAGAGUGAGUAUGGUGGUGGCUUGACUCACUUGGGGGAGAUGGCACGAGACUGUCUGUGAAUGAUGGAUUGUGUUUAUAUAGAAGGUGGAUAAGGGGUGACCCACUAAUUGACGGUGAGUAUAGAUGAUGGAAUGGCUCAUCG